AGCUCCAAUAGCGUAUAUUAAAGUUGUUGCAGUUAAAAAGCUCGUAGUUGGAUUUGGGACUGGAGUCGUCGGGUCGGCCGCGAGGUCUGUUACUGGACGGCUCCGUCAUUUCAUCUCUCGGAGACCCGUCGUGCACUUCGCUGUGCGCGGCGCGGGACUCGGGACGUUUACUUUGAAAAAAUUAGAGUGCUCAAAGCAGGCGUUUGCUUGAAUAAUACAGCAUGGAAUAAUAGAAUAGGACUUUAUCCAUUUUAUUGGUUAUUGGAUGAAGUAAUGAUUAACAGAAACAGUUGGGGGCAUCAGUACUUAAUAGUCAGAGGUGAAAUUCUUAGAUUUAUUAAAGACUAACUAAUGCGAAAGCAUUUGCCAAGGAUGUUUUCAUUAAUCAAGAACGAAAGUA
RNAcentral lists this ribosomal RNA (400 nucleotides) under phytoplankton environmental sample. RNAcentral's name for it is "partial small subunit ribosomal RNA". It matches the Rfam family "Eukaryotic small subunit ribosomal RNA", at positions 587 to 991 of the family's 1831-position model. The record is from RNAcentral.